GGUUAAGCGACUAAGCGUACACGGUGGAUGCCCUGGCAGUCAGAGGCGAUGAAGGACGUGCUAAUCUGCGAUAAGCGUCGGUAAGGUGAUAUGAACCGUUAUAACCGGCGAUUUCCGAAUGGGGAAACCCAGUGUGUUUCGACACACUAUCAUUAACUGAAUCCAUAGGUUAAUGAGGCGAACCGGGGGAACUGAAACAUCUAAGUACCCCGAGGAAAAGAAAUCAACCGAGAUUCCCCCAGUAGCGGCGAGCGAACGGGGAGCAGCCCAGAGCCUGAAUCAGUGUGUGUGUUAGUGGAAGCGUCUGGAAAGGCGCGCGAUACAGGGUGACAGCCCCGUACACAAAAAUGCACAUACUGUGAGCUCGAUGAGUAGGGCGGGACACGUGGUAUCCUGUCUGAAUAUGGGGGGACCAUCCUCCAAGGCUAAAUACUCCUGACUGACCGAUAGUGAACCAGUACCGUGAGGGAAAGGCGAAAAGAACCCCGGCGAGGGGAGUGAAAAAGAACCUGAAACCGUGUACGUACAAGCAGUGGGAGCACAGAGCAAUCUGUGUGACUGCGUACCUUUUGUAUAAUGGGUCAGCGACUUAUAUUCUGUAGCAAGGUUAACCGAAUAGGGGAGCCGAAGGGAAACCGAGUCUUAACUGGGCGUUAAGUUGCAGGGUAUAGACCCGAAACCCGGUGAUCUAGCCAUGGGCAGGUUGAAGGUUGGGUAACACUAACUGGAGGACCGAACCGACUAAUGUUGAAAAAUUAGCGGAUGACUUGUGGCUGGGGGUGAAAGGCCAAUCAAACCGGGAGAUAGCUGGUUCUCCCCGAAAGCUAUUUAGGUAGCGCCUCGUGAAUUCAUCUCCGGGGGUAGAGCACUGUUUCGGCAAGGGGGUCAUCCCGACUUACCAACCCGAUGCAAACUGCGAAUACCGGAGAAUGUUAUCACGGGAGACACACGGCGGGUGCUAACGUCCGUCGUGAAGAGGGAAACAACCCAGACCGCCAGCUAAGGUCCCAAAGUCAUGGUUAAGUGGGAAACGAUGUGGGAAGGCCCAGACAGCCAGGAUGUUGGCUUAGAAGCAGCCAUCAUUUAAAGAAAGCGUAAUAGCUCACUGGUCGAGUCGGCCUGCGCGGAAGAUGUAACGGGGCUAAACCAUGCACCGAAGCUGCGGCAGCGACGCUUAUGCGUUGUUGGGUAGGGGAGCGUUCUGUAAGCCUGUGAAGGUGUGCUGUGAGGCAUGCUGGAGGUAUCAGAAGUGCGAAUGCUGACAUAAGUAACGAUAAAGCGGGUGAAAAGCCCGCUCGCCGGAAGACCAAGGGUUCCUGUCCAACGUUAAUCGGGGCAGGGUGAGUCGACCCCUAAGGCGAGGCCGAAAGGCGUAGUCGAUGGGAAACAGGUUAAUAUUCCUGUACUUGGUGUUACUGCGAAGGGGGGACGGAGAAGGCUAUGUUGGCCGGGCGACGGUUGUCCCGGUUUAAGCGUGUAGGCUGGUUUUCCAGGCAAAUCCGGAAAAUCAAGGCUGAGGCGUGAUGACGAGGCACUACGGUGCUGAAGCAACAAAUGCCCUGCUUCCAGGAAAAGCCUCUAAGCAUCAGGUAACAUCAAAUCGUACCCCAAACCGACACAGGUGGUCAGGUAGAGAAUACCAAGGCGCUUGAGAGAACUCGGGUGAAGGAACUAGGCAAAAUGGUGCCGUAACUUCGGGAGAAGGCACGCUGAUAUGUAGGUGAGGUCCCUCGCGGAUGGAGCUGAAAUCAGUCGAAGAUACCAGCUGGCUGCAACUGUUUAUUAAAAACACAGCACUGUGCAAACACGAAAGUGGACGUAUACGGUGUGACGCCUGCCCGGUGCCGGAA
RNAcentral lists this ribosomal RNA (1850 nucleotides) under Escherichia coli. Its description in RNAcentral is "partial 23S ribosomal RNA". It matches the Rfam family "Bacterial large subunit ribosomal RNA", at positions 1 to 1874 of the family's 2925-position model. Lineage: Bacteria; Pseudomonadati; Pseudomonadota; Gammaproteobacteria; Enterobacterales; Enterobacteriaceae. The record is from RNAcentral.